AGUGAACGCUGGCGGCGUGCUUAACACAUGCAAGUCGAACGAGAACGGAUUAUAGCUUGCUAUAAUUGUCAGCUAAGUGGCGCACGGGUGAGUAAUGUAUAGGUAAUAUGCCUCUUACUAAGGGAUAACAAAUGGAAACGUUUGCUAAUACCUUAUACUCCUUAUUAACAUAAGUUAAUAAGGGAAAGAUUUAUUGGUAAGAGAUUAGCCUGUAUUGUAUCAGUUAGUUGGUGGAGUAAUGGUUUACCAAGACUAUGACACAUAACUGGUUUGAGAGGAUGAUCAGUCACACUGGAACUGAGACACGGUCCAGACUCCUACGGGAGGCAGCAGUGGGGAAUAUUGCACAAUGGACGAAAGUCUGAUGCAGCAACGCCGCGUGGAGGAUGACACAUUUCGGUGCGUACACUCCUUUUAUAUGAGAAGAUAAUGACGGUAUUAUAUGAAUAAGCACCGGCUAACUCCGUGCCAGCCGCCGCCGUAA
This 484-nucleotide ribosomal RNA is filed under the name uncultured bacterium. RNAcentral describes it as "partial 16S ribosomal RNA". It matches the Rfam family "Bacterial small subunit ribosomal RNA", at positions 29 to 523 of the family's 1533-position model. The record is from RNAcentral.